This 168-nucleotide ribosomal RNA is filed under the name Entomacrodus caudofasciatus (tail-barred rockskipper). RNAcentral's name for it is "partial 12S rRNA". The record is from RNAcentral. Lineage: Eukaryota; Metazoa; Chordata; Actinopteri; Blenniiformes; Blenniidae.
CACCGCGGUUAUACGAGAGGCCCGAGAUGACAGACCCUCGGCGUAAAGAGUGGUUAGAUUUGAUUGUAACUAUAGCCGAACUUUCUCAAAACUGUUAUACGCCCUUGAGGAAAGGAAUUUCUUCUACGAAAGUGGCUUUAUUCCAUUGAACCCACGAAAGCUAAGGCA